GAUGAACGCUGGCGGCGUGCUUAACACAUGCAAGUCGAACGGGAAUGCCACGCUGAUGCGAUUUCGGUCAAAUCAUGUGGCAUUCGAGUGGCGGACGGGUGAGUAACGCGUGGGUAACCUGCCUUACACAGGGGGAUAACACCUGGAAACAGGUGCUAAUACCGCAUAAGCGCACAGGGCCGCAUGGCCCGGUGUGAAAAACUCCGGUGGUGUAAGAUGGACCCGCGUCUGAUUAGCUUGUUGGCGGGGUAGGGGCCCACCAAGGCGACGAUCAGUAGCCGGCCUGAGAGGGUGGACGGCCACAUUGGGACUGAGACACGGCCCAG
Molecule: ribosomal RNA, 326 nt
Filed under: uncultured bacterium
Lineage: Bacteria
Description: bacterial SSU rRNA
Rfam family: Bacterial small subunit ribosomal RNA
Source: RNAcentral